RNAcentral lists this ribosomal RNA (239 nucleotides) under bacterium. Its description in RNAcentral is "partial 16S ribosomal RNA". It matches the Rfam family "Bacterial small subunit ribosomal RNA", at positions 1229 to 1470 of the family's 1533-position model. The record is from RNAcentral.
AUUGGAAGAAAAAGAGAAGCGAGCUUGUUAGAGCAAGCGGGCCUCAUAAAGUGUGUGUUAGAAUGGAUUGGAGUGUGGAACUUGACUCCAUGAAGUCGGAAUUGUAGUAAUCGUGGAUCAGAAUGCCACGGUGAAUAAGUUCCCGGGCCUUGUACACACCGCCCGUCACACCAUGGGAGUGGGUUGCAAAAGAAGUAGGUAGCUUAACCUUCGGGAGGGCGUUACCAGUUUGAGGGUUC